GACCUCGGAUCAGGUAGGGAUACCCGCUGAACUUAAGCAUAUCAAUAAGCGGAGGAAAAGAAACCAACAGGGAUUGCCUCAGUAACGGCGAGUGAAGCGGCAACAGCUCAAAUUUGAAAUCUGGCCCUUGGGUCCGAGUUGUAAUUUGCAGAGGAUGUUUCGGGCGUGGUCCGGUCUAAGUUCCUUGGAAUAGGACGUCAUAGAGGGUGAGAAUCCCGUAUGCGACUGGGUGCCUAAGCUCAUGUGAAACUCCUUCGACGAGUCGAGUUGUUUGGGAAUGCAGCUCUAAAUGGGUGGUAAAUUUCAUCUAAAGCUAAAUAUUGGUCAGAGACCGAUAGCGCACAAGUAGAGUGAUCGAAAGAUGAAAAGCACUUUGGAAAGAGAGUUAAAUAGCACGUGAAAUUGUUGAAAGGGAAGCGCUUGCAAUCAG
Molecule: ribosomal RNA, 430 nt
Filed under: uncultured fungus
Lineage: Eukaryota; Fungi
Description: eukaryotic LSU rRNA
Rfam family: Eukaryotic large subunit ribosomal RNA
Source: RNAcentral